This is a non-coding RNA of Salvelinus sp. IW2-2015, 239 nucleotides long. The record is from RefSeq and is a predicted model, not a curated record. Lineage: Eukaryota; Metazoa; Chordata; Actinopteri; Salmoniformes; Salmonidae.
CAUCAGCGAGAUGGACCAGGAAAUGACCUACGAGGUGUUGGCCCUGCUCGACUUUAACAGCGACCGCAAACGCAUGUCCAUCAUCCUGAGGUUCCCUGAUGGCCGGAUCCGUUUGUACUGUAAAGGAGCAGACACGGUCAUCUACGAACGCCUCUCUCCUAACUCUAGACACAAGGAAGUGACCCAGACUGCUCUGGACAUCUUUGCCAACCAGACUCUCCGGACCCUGGUGUUUGUGU